CGCAUUAGCUAGUUGGUGAGGUAACGGCUCACCAAGGCGACGAUGUGUAGCCGACCUGAGAGGGUGAUCGGCCACACUGGGAGUGAGACACGGCCCAGACUCUUACGGGAGGCAGCAGUAGGGAAUCUUCCACAAUGGACGAAAGUCUGAUGGAGCAACGCCGCGUGAGCGAUGAAGGCCUUCGGGUCGUAAAGCUCUGUUGUUAGGGAAGAACAAGUACCGGAGUAACUGCCGGUACCUUGACGGUACCUAACCAGAAAGCCACGGCUAAAUACGUGCCAGCAGCCGCGGUAAUACGUAGGUGGCAAGCGUUGUCCGGAAUUAUUGGGCGUAAAGCGCGCGCAGGCGGUCCUUUAAGUGUGAUGUGAAAGCCCACGGCUCAACCGUGGAGGGUCAUUGGAAACUGGGGGACUUGAGUGCAGAAGAGGAAAGCGGAAUUCCACGUGUAGCGGUGAAAUGCGUAGAGAUGUGGAGGAACACCAGUGGCGAAGGCGGCUUUCUGGUCUGUAACUGACGCUGAGGCGCGAAAGCGUGGGGAGCAAACAGGAUUAGAUACCCUGGUAGUCCACGCCGUAAACGAUGAGUGCUAAGUGUUAGGGGGUUUCCGCCCCUUAGUGCUGCAGCUAACGCAUAAGCACUCCGCCUG
RNAcentral lists this ribosomal RNA (646 nucleotides) under Bacillus sp. (in: firmicutes). RNAcentral describes it as "bacterial SSU rRNA". It matches the Rfam family "Bacterial small subunit ribosomal RNA", at positions 237 to 875 of the family's 1533-position model. The record is from RNAcentral. Lineage: Bacteria; Bacillati; Bacillota; Bacilli; Caryophanales; Bacillaceae.